GAUGAACGCUAGCUACAGGCUUAACACAUGCAAGUCGAGGGGCAUCAGGAAGAAAGCUUGCUUUCUUUGCCGGCGACCGGCGCACGGGUGAGUAACACGUAUCCAACCUGCCCUUUACUCGGGGAUAGCCUUUCGAAAGAAAGAUUAAUACCCGAUAGCAUAAUGAUUCCGCAUGGUUUCAUUAUUAAAGGAUUCCGGUAAAGGAUGGGGAUGCGUUCCAUUAGGUUGUUGGUGAGGUAACGGCUCACCAAGCCUUCGAUGGAUGGGGGUUCUGAGAGGAAGGUCCCCCACAUUGGAACUGAGACACGGUCCAAACUCCUACGGGAGGCAGCAGUGAGGAAUAUUGGUCAAUGGGCGCUAGCCUGAACCAGCCAAGUAGCGUGAAGGAUGAAGGCUCUAUGGGUCGUAAACUUCUUUUAUAUAAGAAUAAAGUGCAGUAUGUAUACUGUUUUGUAUGUAUUAUAUGAAUAAGGAUCGGCUAACUCCGUGCCAGCAGCCGCGGUAAUACGGAGGAUCCGAGCGUUAUCCGGAUUUAUUGGGUUUAAAGGGAGCGUAGGUGGACUGGUAAGUCAGUUGUGAAAGUUUGCGGCUCAACCGUAAAAUUGCAGUUGAUACUGUCAGUCUUGAGUACAGUAGAGGUGGGCGGAAUUCGUGGUGUAGCGGUGAAAUGCUUAGAUAUCACGAAGAACUCCGAUUGCGAAGGCAGCUCACUGGACUGCAACUGACACUGAUGCUCGAAAGUGUGGGUAUCAAACAGGAUUAGAUACCCUGGUAGUCCACACAGUAAACGAUGAAUACUCGCUGUUUGCGAUAUACAGUAAGCGGCCAAGCGAAAGCAUUAAGUAUUCCACCUGGGGAGUACGCCGGCAACGGUGAAACUCAAAGGAAUUGACGGGGGCCCGCACAAGCGGAGGAACAUGUGGUUUAAUUCGAUGAUACGCGAGGAACCUUACCCGGGCUUAAAUUGCAGUGGAAUGAUGUGGAAACAUGUCAGUGAGCAAUCACCGCUGUGAAGGUGCUGCAUGGUUGUCGUCAGCUCGUGCCGUGAGGUGUCGGCUUAAGUGCCAUAACGAGCGCAACCCUUAUCUUCAGUUACUAACAGGUCAUGCUGAGGACUCUGGAGAGACUGCCGUCGUAAGAUGUGAGGAAGGUGGGGAUGACGUCAAAUCAGCACGGCCCUUACGUCCGGGGCUACACACGUGUUACAAUGGGGGGUACAGAAGGCAGCUAGCGGGUGACCGUAUGCUAAUCCCAAAAUCCCCUCUCAGUUCGGAUCGAAGUCUGCAACCCGACUUCGUGAAGCUGGAUUCGCUAGUAAUCGCGCAUCAGCCACGGCGCGGUGAAUACGUUCCCGGGCCUUGUACACACCGCCCGUCAAGCCAUGGGAGCCGGGGGUACCUGAAGUACGUAACCGCAAGGAUCGUCCUAGGGUAAAACUG
This 1439-nucleotide ribosomal RNA is filed under the name uncultured organism. Its description in RNAcentral is "SSU rRNA". It matches the Rfam family "Bacterial small subunit ribosomal RNA". The record is from RNAcentral.